This 467-nucleotide ribosomal RNA is filed under the name uncultured bacterium. Its description in RNAcentral is "partial 16S ribosomal RNA". It matches the Rfam family "Bacterial small subunit ribosomal RNA", at positions 28 to 507 of the family's 1533-position model. The record is from RNAcentral.
GACGAACGCUGGCGGCGUGCUUAACACAUGCAAGUCGAACGGAAAGGCCCUGCUUUUGUGGGGUGCUCGAGUGGCGAACGGGUGAGUAACACGUGAGUAACCUGCCCUUGACUUUGGGAUAACUUCAGGAAACUGGGGCUAAUACCGGAUAGGAGCUCCUGCUGCAUGGUGGGGGUUGGAAGUUUCGGCGGUUGGGGAUGGACUCGCGGCUUAUCAGCUUGUUGGUGGGGUAGUGGCUUACCAAGGCUUUGACGGGUAGCCGGCCUGAGAGGGUGACCGGCCACAUUGGGACUGAGAUACGGCCCAGACUGCUACGGGAGGCAGCAGUGGGGAAUAUUGCACAAUGGGCGGAAGCCUGAUGCAGCAACGCCGCGUGCGGGAUGACGGCCUUCGGGUUGUAAACCGCUUUCGCCUGUGACGAAGCGUGAGUGACGGUAAUGGGUAAAGAAGCACCGGCUAACUACGUG